UCGUAGGUGGUUUGUCGCGUUGUUCGUGAAAUCUCACGGCUUAACUGUGAGCGUGCGGGCGAUACGGGCAGACUUGAGUACUGCAGGGGAGACUGGAAUUCCUGGUGUAGCGGUGGAAUGCGCAGAUAUCAGGAGGAACACCGGUGGCGAAGGCGGGUCUCUGGGCAGUAACUGACGCUGAGGAGCGAAAGCGUGGGGAGCGAACAGGAUUAGAUACCCUGGUAGUCCACGCCGUAAACGGUGGGUACUAGGUGUGGGUUUCCUUCCUUGGGAUCCGUGCCGUAGCUAACGCAUUAAGUACCCCGCCUGGGGAGUACGGCCGCGAGGCUAAAACUCAAAGAAAUUGACGGGGGCCCGCACAAGCGGCGGAGCAUGUGGAUUAAUUCGAUGCAACGCGAAGAACCUUACCUGGGUUUGACAUGCACAGGACGCCGGCAGAGAUGUCGGUUCCCUUGUGGCCUGUGUGCAGGUGGUGCAUGGCUGUCGUCAGCUCGUGUCGUGAGAUGUUGGGUUAAGUCCCGCAACGAGCGCAACCCUUGUCUCAUGUUGCCAGCGGGUAAUGCCGGGGACUCGUGAGAGACUGCCGGGGUCAACUCGGAGGAAGGUGGGGAUGACGUCAAGUCAUCAUGCCCCUUAUGUCCAGGGCUUCACACAUGCUACAAUGGCCGGUACAAAGGGCUGCGAUGCCGCGAGGUUAAGCGAAUCCUUUUAAAGCCGGUCUCAGUUCGGAUCGGGGUCUGCAACUCGACCCCGCGAAGUCGGAGUC
RNAcentral lists this ribosomal RNA (766 nucleotides) under uncultured Mycobacterium sp. RNAcentral describes it as "bacterial SSU rRNA". It matches the Rfam family "Bacterial small subunit ribosomal RNA", at positions 569 to 1333 of the family's 1533-position model. The record is from RNAcentral. Lineage: Bacteria; Bacillati; Actinomycetota; Actinomycetes; Mycobacteriales; Mycobacteriaceae.